GUAAGCUCUCACUGUCAUGCCUCUUGCUCUGAUUUAGGAGCACUGUUAUUACACUGACUUCUGCAGUACGGUCACAGAUCUAUAUGUUGGAUACAGUCUAAAAAAUCUUUAGGAAAGUGGCUAUAUGUGAAGGAAAAUUCUCCUGCAGGCAACUAUGAAGUAUCAGAUUCCACAUUCGACCUUUCAUUGGGCUAGUUGGCUGAGCACUGACAGAUCUGCUGGCACUUUGAAUGCCAACCCAAACAAUUUUUUCUCAUAUGUUGAGAAUUGCCAGUGAACUGUACAAUCAGUUAUUCACACAGCUCUGGUCAGAGGCCCGAGGAGCCAAGUUUGGUUGAACAGGAGCUGAGAAGCAAGUUUUGGCUCCAUAGAAGGAUGCAAAGCAGCUGGAGCAGACCUGAGAAUCAGACUCUGUGACU
Mauremys reevesii (Reeves's turtle) is the source of this 419-nucleotide long non-coding RNA. RefSeq lists it as uncharacterized. The transcript is spliced from 4 exons. The record is from RefSeq and is a predicted model, not a curated record. Lineage: Eukaryota; Metazoa; Chordata; Testudines; Geoemydidae.